GAAUGAACAAUUCCCUCUGAGCUUGAUCUAAUCACUGUAAGAUGACAAUUACUUUCUCAUAGUUCAGACCUGGUUAAUGGGGCUACAAUACAAACAAAUACAUAUAAAUUUAAACAUGCAACUGGCUGUCAGGAAUCAGCACCCGACGAACGAACACCCAAGGUCAUUUGCAAGACAACUGUUCCACAUAGUCAAAAGUAGGUGAUUAGGUUAUCCAUAGCAGCUGUCACUGUGCCCUAAGCAACA
This 246-nucleotide unclassified non-coding RNA is filed under the name Hevea brasiliensis (rubber tree). Lineage: Eukaryota; Viridiplantae; Streptophyta; Magnoliopsida; Malpighiales; Euphorbiaceae. The record is from RNAcentral.